UGCCGGAUCGUCUAAUGGUAAGGCGCACGCCUCUGGAGCGUGUUAUCAAGGUUCGAGUCCUUGUCCGGCAG
RNAcentral lists this transfer RNA (71 nucleotides) under Pyrinomonadaceae bacterium. RNAcentral's name for it is "tRNA-Gln". It matches the Rfam family "tRNA". Rfam says of the family: Transfer RNA (tRNA) molecules are approximately 80 nucleotides in length. Their secondary structure includes four short double-helical elements and three loops (D, anti-codon, and T loops). Further hydrogen bonds mediate the characteristic L-shaped molecular structure. tRNAs have two regions of fundamental functional importance: the anti-codon, which is responsible for specific mRNA codon recognition, and the 3' end, to which the tRNAs corresponding amino acid is attached (by aminoacyl-tRNA synthetases). tRNAs cope with the degeneracy of the genetic code in two manners: having more than one tRNA (with a specific anti-codon) for a particular amino acid; and 'wobble' base-pairing, i.e. permitting non-standard base-pairing at the 3rd anti-codon position. The record is from RNAcentral. Lineage: Bacteria; Pseudomonadati; Acidobacteriota; Blastocatellia; Blastocatellales; Pyrinomonadaceae.